RNAcentral lists this ribosomal RNA (392 nucleotides) under uncultured bacterium. RNAcentral describes it as "bacterial SSU rRNA". It matches the Rfam family "Bacterial small subunit ribosomal RNA", at positions 29 to 412 of the family's 1533-position model. The record is from RNAcentral.
AACGAACGCUGGCGGCGCGCCUAAUACAUGCAAGUCGAGCGAGAAGACGUAGCAAUACGUUUGUAAAGCGGCGAACGGGUGAGGAAUACAUGGGUAACCUACCCUCGAGUGGGGAAUAACUAGCCGAAAGGUUAGCUAAUACCGCGUACGCUCCUUGGACUUCGGUUCAGGGAGGAAAGCGAUACCGUGGGUAUCGCGCUCUUGGAUGGGCUCAUGUCCUAUCAGCUUGUUGGUGAGGAACGGCUCACCAAGGCUUCGACGGGUAGCUGGUCUGAGAGGACGAUCAGCCACACUGGCACUGCGACACGGGCCAGACUCCUACGGGAGGCAGCAGUGGGGAAUUUUGGACAAUGGGCGCAAGCCUGAUCCAGCCAUGCCGCGUGCGGGAAGAA